This 206-nucleotide ribosomal RNA is filed under the name uncultured bacterium. Its description in RNAcentral is "partial 16S ribosomal RNA". It matches the Rfam family "Bacterial small subunit ribosomal RNA", at positions 1298 to 1500 of the family's 1533-position model. The record is from RNAcentral.
UUGCAGGCUGCAACCCGCCCUGCAUGAAGUCGGAAUCGCUAGUAAUCGCGGGUCAGCGUACCGCGGUGAAUACGUUCCCGGGCCUUGUACACACCGCCCGUCACACCACGAAAGUUGGUAACACCCGAAGCCGGUGGCCUAACCCUUAGGGGAGGGAGCUGUCGAAGGUGGGACUGAUGAUUGGGGUGAAGUCGUAACAAGGUAGC